Molecule: ribosomal RNA, 253 nt
Filed under: uncultured bacterium
Lineage: Bacteria
Description: partial 16S ribosomal RNA
Rfam family: Bacterial small subunit ribosomal RNA
Source: RNAcentral
UACGGGGGGGGCAAGCGUUGUUCGGAAUUAUUGGGCGUAAAGAGCUCGUAGGCGGUUUGUCGCGUCGAAUGUGAAAACCCGGGGCUCAACCCCGGGCCUGCAUUCGAUACGGGCAGACUAGAGUUCGGUAGGGGAGUCUGGAAUUCCUGGUGUAGCGGUGAAAUGCGCAGAUAUCAGGAGGAACACCGGUGGCGAAGGCGGGACUCUGGGCCGAUACUGACGCUGAGGAGCGAAAGCGUGGGGAGCAAACAGG